Molecule: ribosomal RNA, 462 nt
Filed under: uncultured bacterium
Lineage: Bacteria
Description: partial 16S ribosomal RNA
Source: RNAcentral
GACUACCGGGGUAUCUAAUCCUGUUCGCUCCCCACGCUUUCGCGCUUCAGCGUCAGUCCUAGGCCAGAGAGCCGCCUUCGCCACUGGUGUUCUUCCAGAUAUCUACGCAUUUCACCGCUACACCUGGAAUUCCGCUCUCCUCUCCCGAACUCAAGAGAACCAGUCUUAGAUGCAAUUUAUGGGUUGAGCCCAUAGCUUUCACAUCUAACUUAAUCCCCCGCCUAGACGCCCUUUACGCCCAAUAAUUCCGAACAACGCUAGCCCCAUACGUAUUACCGCGGCUGCUGGCACGUAGUUAGCCGGGGCUUUAGGCAGGUACCGUCAUCACACCGAAUAUUACCCGGUGCUUAUUCUUCCCUGCUUACUGAACUUUACAACCCGAAAGCCUUCAUCAUUCACGCGGCGUCGCUGCAUCAGGGUUGCCCCCAUUGUGCAAGAUUCCUCACUGCUGCCCCCCGUAGG